Long non-coding RNA from Passer domesticus (house sparrow), 1909 nucleotides. RefSeq lists it as uncharacterized. NCBI's taxonomy places the organism in Eukaryota, Metazoa, Chordata, Aves, Passeriformes, Passeridae. The record is from RefSeq and is a predicted model, not a curated record. The transcript has 7 exons.
GGCUUUUAUUUUUCUGGCUAAAGCAGACUCUCAUAUCCUAUAGAUGACUGUUGAGGAAGACAUUCAGCAGACUGUGCUCCUCUGUGAAUCUGGUCAAAGCUUUUGUGCUGAAACAUUUAUUCUGUUAAAAACACACUUGUUUGCUGGCACCCAGUCAUUUCAAAAGAACAGGCCUGUUCUAACACAUCUUCCAAAUGAUUUCAAAACUGGACAGGGAAGCAGAUUUCCAUCAAAACCAGCUUGGCUCCUCAUUGCUCCCUCGCUACUGUCCACCCGUUGGGCUGUCUGUGUAGGGGUGGUCCUGGACUUCAUCCCUGCUGGUGGUGGGAUCCUCAUGUGGCCCCACACUGUCCUACAACUACCAGUGCCAGGAACACCUCUGAGGCAGCAGGUUUUGGGGCUCCCAGACACCCUGGCCUGUUUGUGAGGCCACAGCUGACCUGGGAGUUUCUGUGCUUGGGCUUCCUUACACUCAGUACUUCUAGCAAAAGUAUUGAAAUAAUUUACAGUGGUUUGUAUUUUCAUUUCCAUACCCAGCUUUGAUACCUUCACUCUUCACUCUGGUGUGGUUUUUUUUGGUUCUCACAAAACUGCAAAGUUUUACUUAGAAAGAUUGCCCUGGAAGCUAGCUCUGGUCAUGGUAUGCACCUGGUUAACAUGGCCUAAGAAAUGAAGUGAGAAAAAUGUGUGAGAAUGUGGACUGCAAAUCAAGAGGGGAAUUUUCUGGUGUCAGAAAACAGGUUAAAACAGCUGCAUCAGGAAUGUGUAUGGAAUGAGAGAAGAAAGGAUGAAGCUGAUUUUCCUGAAGUAGAAUAGACCAGCCCAGUGAAAACAAUAAUUCCUCUCAGUAACAGGGGUUUAGACAAGGUUCACAGGAAUGGUAACUUCAGGAGAGCCUAUGGGAGAGGAUGAAUUCUGCUGCAGCCUUUCUACAUCAAAAAAGACCCUUUUCAGCACAAGAUCUUUAUGCUACUACUGAAGUGCAAGUCUCCCCCAUUGCUGGCUGGACUAAUCUGCUGUAGGACAUUGAAGAAAUACGAAAUGUUGAGGUCUCCAAAGCUGGAAGGACAGGCUGUAAAUAGAGGGGAAUUUAUACAUUCAGAUGGGGCAUUGAAAGAGAUUUCUGCCUCAUGCUGCAGGCUCAGAAGUCCUGAGGUACCGAUGAUUAAUCAAAGGGAUUUGAUAAUAGUACCAUGAAGAACUGGUGGGCACCACAAAACUGCAAAGUUACUGCAGCUCACCCUCUCACUGAUGUGAACGGGUACUAUAUUUACCCAGGAGAGUCAUGAAAAUUGCCAUGACAAUGAUUGUGGUUGCUUGGGAAUGCAAGAAGCUAAUUUUGCCCGAAUAAUAAGACACAGAGUCAUCUGUCUCCCUUGGUAAAGCAACAAGGAGUUUAUGCAGAAAUAUCCUGGCAUCUCUAAACAAACAGAAAAGCCCGUCCCAGUAAUGAAAAUUCCCCCGAGGCACCGAAGUUUGGGAAAGGACGUCUUGCUGGGCAGGCUGCAGCCGCAGGCUCAGUGUCCCGCAGGACGCCUCCGCCGUGAGCAGCACGAGGGGCUGAUUUUGUACACGCUUCUAAACGGCGCCAUUUCAGGCAUUCGCUGGCUUUUCCCCAGCCGGACACAGCAGUUCCCGGAAGGCUGAGGGGUGUUUUCUGCCGCACCUGAGCGCCAGCGGCAUCGAGCGAGCGGAGCCGCCGUCCCUGGGCAGCGCUCCCCGGCUGCGGCGCGGCGCGCCCGGCGCUCGGGCUCGGGCGCUGCCCCGCUCCGGCUCCGUCCGCGGGAGCCUUCAAAGGCGAUGGGCACAGGCGAAGGGAGCUGCUGGCUUUCAGACUGCUCCCAGGAAUCAGAUAAACACUCUCUCAGGGCUCAAAAGAAAUCUCGCUCUCACUCUUAAAAUUUUUUUU